This 579-nucleotide ribosomal RNA is filed under the name Triticum aestivum (bread wheat). RNAcentral's name for it is "partial small subunit ribosomal RNA". The record is from RNAcentral. Lineage: Eukaryota; Viridiplantae; Streptophyta; Magnoliopsida; Poales; Poaceae.
AUGUACAUUCACAAGAGAAAUGCUAUAGCAUCACAAACUAAACCCAUGUAUAGUGCAGGUUCACAAGAGAAAUGCUACUGUCUAUCUAUUGGCAUUUUGCAGCAAGUUGCAGAUGCGUUGUGGCGUUGGCACAGUUCUUCAGUUUCCACGACUCCAUUUCCGGGACUUACUUGCAGUCGCCAUGGCCCGCAGGAUGUCCAGCGGUCUCCAGUCGGUGUCGGACGUGAAGGUCGGUCGCUGCUUCCGCUCCAGGUUGCAGCACUUCAGCGCCAGCCGAAGGAGCCGCUCUGCCUGCACCUCUGGCCAGCUGCCGGCAGAUGCGUCCAGCAGGCCGUGCACCGCGUCCCUCCUGAGCGCCUCCUGUACCUGCUCGACAAUAUUGAGGUCGAGCAGCCCCGUGAGCACCUGCAGGAUCACCACGCCGAACGCGUAGACGUCCGACUCUGUAGUGAGCUCGCCAGUCAUGAAGAAGAUGGGGUCCAUGUACCCCAUUGUGCCCAUCGGGUUGGUCCACCGGCAGAUUGUGUCCUCCUUCAGGGGCUUCAUCUGCACAAUGCGCGCCGUUCCAAAGUCCCCUAG